UGGUUUGGUUUGGUUAUUUGUUUUUGUUUUUUUUUUCCACCCCUCCCCCCCAACCUUCUGUGCAGGUGCAAUCGGCGUAGGCGUUCCCUCUGGGAAGAUUCUUUGGCUUCAAGUUGGAGACAGACCCGGAGUCCUCAGGUCUGUCCGCCGCUCAGGAAUCCUUGUCAUUUGAGGAUGUAACUAUGGGCUUCACCCAGGAGGAAUGGCAGCAUCUGGACCCUGCUCAGAGGACCCUACACAGAGAUGUGAUGCUAGAGAAUGACAGCCCCAUCAUCUCAGUAGGAUAUUGCAUCCCUAAACCAGAAGUGAUCUUCAAAUUGGAACAAGGAGAGCAGCCAUGGAUAUUAGAGGAAGAGCUCCCAGGCCAGAAAUACCCAGGUAAGUUAGCAUGUAUUAAGCAGAAAGGAUACCAGUGACAUGGUAUCAAUUCUUCUAAUUCUCAAGAGUUUUCUUGGCCAGGCAUGGUGGCUUAUGCCUGUAAUCCUAAUACUUUGGGAGACUGAGGAGGGUGGAUCACCUGAGGU
Long non-coding RNA from Sapajus apella (tufted capuchin), 524 nucleotides. RefSeq lists it as uncharacterized. The record is from RefSeq and is a predicted model, not a curated record. The transcript is spliced from 3 exons. NCBI's taxonomy places the organism in Eukaryota, Metazoa, Chordata, Mammalia, Primates, Cebidae.